RNAcentral lists this ribosomal RNA (432 nucleotides) under uncultured bacterium. RNAcentral describes it as "partial 16S ribosomal RNA". It matches the Rfam family "Bacterial small subunit ribosomal RNA", at positions 29 to 506 of the family's 1533-position model. The record is from RNAcentral.
AACGAACGCUGGCGGCAUGCCCAACACAUGCAAGCCGAACGAGACCUUCGGGCCAAGCGCAGCAAGGGUGCUUACCGGGCGGGAACCUGCCCUCAGGUUCGGAAUAACUCCCCGAAAGGGGUCCUAAACCCGGAUAAUGUCUCCGGACCAAAGAUUUAUCGCCUCUGGGUGGGCCCGCGUUGAAUUAGCUAGUUGGUAGGGUAAAAGCCUACCAAGGCGACGAUCCAUAGCUGGUCUGAGAGGAUGAUCAGCCACACUGGGACUGAGACACGGCCCAGACUCCUACGGGAGGCAGCAGUGGGGAAUAUUGGACAAUGGGCGAAAGCCUGAUCCAGCAAUGCCGCGUGAGUGAUGAAGGCCUUAGGGUUGUAAAGCCCUUUUACCCGGGAUGAUAAUGACAGUACCGGGAGAAUAAGCUCCGGCUAACUCCGU